GUUUCCGAAUUGGACUCCUCCUGGAUCAGUUUUUCUCAGAUCGUCGAAAGAAGUGCUAUUAUUUCAUAAACACUGAUAAAGUCAAUACUAUUUCGGAGCUAAAAGAAACUCUGACGUUCAAAUUUGAUUUACCCUCGGAUGUUCAGUUGAUGCACAAUGGGUUCCUAUUGCUGGAUGAAGACACAGUGUUUGUUAUUCGCCAAGACGAAACCAUCGAAGUUGUUCCUUGCUCUCCGCUGCAGGAGAAAAGUUUCUUGAAAGAAAGAACUGAAGAUACCUCCUCGCCAUCAAAACGAGAACCACAUUGUAGUCGAGCCCAGGUAAAAAGCACAAAUGAAAAAAUUCCAAGCUCAAAAGACAAAAUCACGGAACCACACUCCCUCCAGACAAAUUCUGAUGAAAGUUCAAGUGGAGAGAAAGUUAAAAAGAAGAAAAAGAAAAAACGAAACCGAAGUCCUGAAAAUCUUCAUGUUUUAGAAAACUCUGUUGAUGAUGCAAGUGGAAUGGACUACCACUCAACACCUCUUAACUUUGUUCAAGCUAGCAACAAGUAUUACCAAAUCGAAAAGGCUGAAUCUCCUAGUUCUUCCUCCAAUUUUAUCAAAGACUCAGUGAAAACUCCUAUUCUAAGUGAGAGUAAACAUGUAUUCGAUGAUGAAAGUGAAGUACAAAAUCUUGCUUUGCAAAGUGCCAAUCCUCAUUCAAAUUCUUUGAAUAAUGUAGAUUCUAAUAGGAGUAAUAAAAGAAAGUGGAAAAAUGAAAGUAAUAGACUGAGAUAUUCGGUGUAGCAGAACUUAUAAAACAAAUUCAGACUAGCACUAGUUCAAAAGUAGAAACUGAAGAACCUACCAUUGAUACCGCAAUCGAUGAUUCAAGCCCCAAAGCAAAAAGGAAAAGAACUCGCCGUCAUAGAAAAAGGAAAACAAAAUCAAACGAUAACUCCUUCAAUACCAGCAAUAUGGCUCCAAUUUCCACAGAAAAUGGCUCCACUGAAGAUUUUAAAGAGAUGCAAAGCAAACCUCGUCUCCACAAGAGGUUUGACAGUCAUGAAGAUGUCAGCUUGAACUUCGAUACGCAUCAAAAUGCUAUUGCAACUACUGCAGCCUCGCACGAAAUUAAUUCACACUCAAAAUUAUGCAGUCAAAUUUCACCUCUAACCCCACCGUCUGAGCACAAUUCUGAAGAUGAUGUUUAUAAGAAACUACUUAACUUGAAAAAAAUGAAUAAACCAGUAGUGUUUGAACGAGUCCUGAAAGGAGAUGUGCGUAACAUUCAUGAUGAAGAAAAACCUUUGCUGACAUCUGAAGAAGUUGAUGCUGUUCCUUCAAAUAGUGAAAAGAACGCCAAUGAAGAUCAAAUGGAAAUAAUUUAUCAAGAUACCAAUGAAGCAGUAUUGCCAUUAAAAGUUGUAUCGAACUCAAGUAGCAAUGAUGAAGCUGAAACUUUUAUUGGUACUGAAAAUCAAAGGAGUGAAAUUGAUAGUUCCAAAAAAGAGCCCUGCCCUGUACAUAUUAAGAAGACUAUUUGUGAUAAUAACUUAGAAAAAAUUGAUAUCAGCAACUAUCCUAUCAUUGAAAGUACUCGGAAAAAUGACAUUUUAGUAUUCAAGACACUGAAGUUAAGUGCCAGUCUCUCUCCUACACUGUCUAAUUUAAUCCUUGCCCGUGUUUUGGAUACUUAUCCAGGAACUUUAAUCUUAUUUGAAAUCUUAGGGGGUGAAGAAGAGCUAGAUUUCACUACAGAUGGAUCCCUCAUGGAAGAGCAUAAAACCCCAAAUCCCUUGAUCAAAUUGAAUUGGACUGACUUAUAUGAGCCACGCCUUCUUUAUCCAUGAGAUUGUCUAGCAAUAAUGAAUUCUUCAGUCUUCAUUUGUAUGCUCUUAUACUGAUAGCUUCUGCCUAGAAAUUUAAGUUCUAUUUUGGUGCCAACAGAGUUUACAGAGAUGGUGCUCAGGAACUACAAAUCGAUGGUGUAAGUUGACAAUCACAUAACUCGGUUUGCGACGUCGCAGACUUCCUAUCAUACUUUAUUUUUUAAAUGGAAAACUUCUCAACGACAAUUCUUUAAAACUGUCGUGAUUUUUCUUCUCUAUGUGUAGAAAAUUCUGCAAAAACUGCAAGAAAUGAUAUCAAGUUGUUCUCCUUUAAAAAAAUAUCAUAGAGGCGAAGAUUUUCAGACACUGCAGACGAGUUAUGUGAUUGCCGACUUACACCGUCGAAAUGUUCUCUUUUAUGGAGACCUCAUUCCAGCUGUAGGCUACUCAAUUAAGACUGGAGGUAGCUCCAUGUUUUUGAUCCGACUACCUACUCUAGAAAGAAGAGAUAUUUUGCUACUUUUUUUUUUAUUGCAAGUUGAUAUACCUAUGGCCAUUCGUGCAAUGGACCACUAGAAAACCACUUAUAUAUCAAAGCAUUCUGAUAAUUGUUAGCAAAACAAAAUUUCAUGUAGAACACGAAUUAGUUGAAAGCAAUUGCUAAAAUGGAUUCCUAUUCAUGACAUCUAAUGAUUCUGUAUGCAUAAAUUCAAACUCCCUUCCUAUGAAAAAACAUAAUUCAAAGGUAGUCAAAUCGUCCAUUAAAUGUUCCCGCAACAGUCUCUGCAGCAUCAUAAUAUGACAACCUUGGCGGUUCGGCUCUGCUGUUUCACAUCAUUCACACUUUGAAGAACACUGCUUGAUUAAGGAGCCUGCGACACCGUUGUAUUGCGCAAUUUCAUACAGAGUAUUCUUUUUCUUGUGAACGGGCAAUUCAAAUUUCCUGCUAAUAAUGCUAACUGAAAACGUUAAUAUCCUGAUUGGAAGUAAAUUUAAGCAAUCUACUUUACCCGAAUAAAAUUCUGUGUGAAAUUUUGAUCAAGCAUCAUGCACCAGAAUGCUGUAAUUUGUACCUUGUAUGGUAGUCCAUUGUAACAAAUCAGUCCUCACCCAACAUGUACAGGAUGGAAAACCCACAUUUUAGGAUGCAGACGGUGAAGUAUUGUAAAAAUACUCAAGAGUUUUUUAGAAUACUCAAUUUCUUAUUGGUCGCCAUAGAACAAGCCUAUAACACUUGCAAUUUAAAAAAAAUAGUGAUGACUCAUUAUACAGCUGACUAAAGUCAAUUCAUCAAAGUUGCUUCAUACAUGAAAUGCAACAAUCUCAAAUAUAUUGUACUGCAUCGGAUUCUCUCAUUACAAACUAAAAGGUUCAAAAAGCUUGUCCAUAAAAAAAUCUUGGAAAUUUUAAUUUAUUUAAUUUAAGAGUUUAAAUGUGUUUCCAUAUGAAUGCUGUAAUGCCCCUGAUUAAUUCUUAUAUUUCUUUGAUAAUCCUAGCCGCAUACUUAUUUUGACCUCAAAUUUUAAUAUACUUACAGGUACGCAAACAUCUUUUUUGUUUUUGUUACUGAAAUAAAAAUUUUUUGAGAAGUUCCACCAUUUCAUUAUUGGAUGUUCAUUCUAUUCAGAGUGAUAGUCAAGGAGUUUUUAAGAUAUUUGACAAAAUCUACUAUUUUCUUUAAGUUUAAUUUCAUAUUUUCGCAUUUAUUUAUUUUUGGUAUCGGUACCCACAGGCUGAUUAACUUUUUCUUGAUGGUCCACCAGACAAAUUCCUAACUAGCAAGAGAAUCGCACAUUUUCUCUUCAAAAUCUCAUGCAGGAAACUUUUCAUGUGACAAGAAAUUCCGAAAUCAACUCCUGAAUUAGAUACUAACAAGUAUUUUUAACUCAAAUGAAAUGGAAAUUAGACUAUAAAAAGACUGUCAUCUGUAUACUUGUCAUUUAAAAAAUGUAAAUUGUGAACAUUUACAUCUUGCUUAGGAGUUGAUUUCCAGACUUCUUGUUGUGUAAUUCAUCUUUGCAGUGAAAUUUUGAAGAGAAAAUAUGUUGCGCAGUGCUUUAAUUCAUACCUUGUCAAGUUGCCCAGUGUGAGGUACUGCAAGGUCAAACUGAAAUGAAGUCCCAUCUUUGGUUGAUUGGAUCAUGUGAUCCCUUUACUCUGCUCUAAUCAGGUCAUCGUGUUAGGCUCUCUGAACUCGUAGGUAACUUACUCAGAUAAGAGUCUAAACAAAUGAUAGGAGUCUUGUGAUUUAGCCACCAGUACUGUGAAGAUCAAAAAAGUAACAAUAAUCUCUCAUGUUUGGGCAGUGAUUUCUCUCUUGUCUUGUGUCAAGACAUGUGCUACCCCUCAGUCCCUAAAUAUUUUUUUCAGCUGGCUACCCUUGAUAAUCCACUCUAGUCAAAU
RNAcentral lists this long non-coding RNA (4216 nucleotides) under Bemisia tabaci. Its description in RNAcentral is "lncRNA ENSASIAIIG005488". Lineage: Eukaryota; Metazoa; Arthropoda; Insecta; Hemiptera; Aleyrodidae. The record is from RNAcentral.